This is a long non-coding RNA of Drosophila miranda, 536 nucleotides long. RefSeq lists it as uncharacterized. The transcript has 3 exons. NCBI's taxonomy places the organism in Eukaryota, Metazoa, Arthropoda, Insecta, Diptera, Drosophilidae. The record is from RefSeq and is a predicted model, not a curated record.
CGAUGAUAACAAUAAUAAAGAUCGCAUGUACAUUAAACCUUGAAAUAUCACUCGUACCCAAUCCAAUGGUAGACCCAAAAUACCAGACAUCCAACAUCAAGUACCUGACAAUAACAAGGCCAGAGUUCACAAAAAUUGUUGGGGACUUUGGCCAGGUAUUAUCCUUGAGCCGUCGAACACUUGUUUGUUGAUAAGUGGAUGCCACCGCGUGGAGACCCAGAUCAUCAGAGCCGUGCUGUUGAUCACGUUGUAUUCCAUUGGACGUCAAUUGGAAAAAUUACAGACCUUAUCAGUUGGUAGAGGAACGCGUGAUGCCAAUUGUCCCUUAGAGGGUAAAUGUAUUCAAUUUAUGAUGCGUCAUAGCAUAUAUGAUAUUGUUAUUAGAGCGUGCCCAAGAUAAGGUAACCUCCUAAUCAUUAAAAUCGAAGGAAAAACCUUAAUCCCCUUUUAGAUUAAAGCUAAUUACAAAGUCUAGAGCCCUAAUAUUAGGUAUAUUAAGUAUUUUUCAUUAUCUCAUAUUAAAAUAAAAAUCAAUC